This 429-nucleotide ribosomal RNA is filed under the name Pseudomonadota bacterium. RNAcentral's name for it is "Proteobacteria bacterium partial 16S ribosomal RNA". It matches the Rfam family "Bacterial small subunit ribosomal RNA", at positions 355 to 776 of the family's 1533-position model. The record is from RNAcentral. Lineage: Bacteria; Pseudomonadati; Pseudomonadota.
UGGGGAAUAUUGGACAAUGGGCGAAAGCCUGAUCCAGCCAUGCCGCGUGUGUGAAGAAGGUCUUCGGAUUGUAAAGCACUUUAAGUUGGGAGGAAGGGCAGUAAGCGAAUACCUUGCUGUUUUGACGUUACCGACAGAAUAAGCACCGGCUAACUCUGUGCCAGCAGCCGCGGUAAUACAGAGGGUGCAAGCGUUAAACGGAAUUACUGGGCGUAAAGCGCGCGUAGGUGGUUCGUUAAGUUGAAUGUGAAAGCCCCGGGCUCAACCUGGGAACUGCAUCCAAAACUGGCGAGCUAGAGUAGGGCAGAGGGUGGUGGAAUUUCCUGUGUAGCGGUGAAAUGCGUAGAUAUAGGAAGGAACACCAGUGGCGAAGGCGACCACCUGGGCUCAUACUGACACUGAGGUGCGAAAGCGUGAGGAGCAAACAGG